This 85-nucleotide transfer RNA is filed under the name Micavibrio sp. RNAcentral describes it as "tRNA-Leu". It matches the Rfam family "tRNA". Rfam says of the family: Transfer RNA (tRNA) molecules are approximately 80 nucleotides in length. Their secondary structure includes four short double-helical elements and three loops (D, anti-codon, and T loops). Further hydrogen bonds mediate the characteristic L-shaped molecular structure. tRNAs have two regions of fundamental functional importance: the anti-codon, which is responsible for specific mRNA codon recognition, and the 3' end, to which the tRNAs corresponding amino acid is attached (by aminoacyl-tRNA synthetases). tRNAs cope with the degeneracy of the genetic code in two manners: having more than one tRNA (with a specific anti-codon) for a particular amino acid; and 'wobble' base-pairing, i.e. permitting non-standard base-pairing at the 3rd anti-codon position. The record is from RNAcentral. Lineage: Bacteria; Pseudomonadati; Bdellovibrionota; Bdellovibrionia; Bdellovibrionales; Pseudobdellovibrionaceae.
GCGGCUGUGGCGGAAUGGUAGACGCUGUGGACUUAAAAUCCAUUGUCCUUUGGACGUGGGGGUUCAAGUCCCCCCAGCCGCACCA